RNAcentral lists this ribosomal RNA (497 nucleotides) under uncultured bacterium. Its description in RNAcentral is "partial 16S ribosomal RNA". It matches the Rfam family "Bacterial small subunit ribosomal RNA", at positions 28 to 507 of the family's 1533-position model. The record is from RNAcentral.
GAUGAACGCUGGCGGCGUGCCUAAUACAUACAAGUCGAGCGAACGGACGAGAAGCUUGCUUCUCUGAUGUUAGCGGCGGACGGGUGAGUAACACGUGGAUAACCUACCUAUAAGACUGGGAUAACUUCGGGAAACCGGAGCUAAUACCGGAUGAUAUUUUGAACCGCAUGGUUCAAAAGUGAAAGACGGUCUUGCUGUCACCUAUAGAUGGAUCCGCGCUGCAUUAGCUAGUUGGUAAGGUAACGGCUUACCAAGGCAACGAUGCAUAGCCGACCUGAGAGGGUGAUCGGCCACACUGGAACUGAGACACGGUCCAGACUCCUACGGGAGGCAGCAGUAGGGAUUCUUCCGCAAUGGGCGAAAGCCUGACGGAGCAACGCCGCGUGAGUGAUGAAGGUCUUCGGAUCGUAAAACUCUGUUAUUAGGGAAGAACAUAUGUGUAAGUAACUGUGCACAUCUUGACGGUACCUAAUCAGAAAGCCACGGCUAACUACGUG